This 227-nucleotide unclassified non-coding RNA is filed under the name Hevea brasiliensis (rubber tree). Lineage: Eukaryota; Viridiplantae; Streptophyta; Magnoliopsida; Malpighiales; Euphorbiaceae. The record is from RNAcentral.
AAUAUGCCAUUUGGCUAAAUCUUAACGCUUCCUUAUUUGACGAGAAAAUGAAAUACUAAUUCCAAAAUCAAAAGGAAAAGGCAUCUUGUGGGCAAAUCCAUAAUAAAAAUAAUGUGAAAGGUGCAUAUUGUCAGAUAUGGGAAAAAUUGGGGCAUAUAAUUAAAAAAAAAAAAUAAUGUUAAGCUAAAACUAAAAACUCAAUACUUAAUUAGAUUGCUUGCAAAUUG